CAGAGGGGGGGGAGAGAAUGUUCUGGAACUCAUGCGAUCUGGUCUCCGUUCCUCUGCCAUCUCCAAUUUCUUCUCUUCUUCCUUCACUCUUUGCCAUCGCUGAUGAGAGAGCUGAGAUGCUGUGCGUUUUCUGUUACUGGUUCACUGUUUUCCAGCCCAUGUCUGCUUUGUUUCUUGUUCUUGACCAUAUUUCUUCCCCCACUCUUCUGUUUGUUGAUGAUGAAGCAAGUAAAUAGCUGAUUUGAGGUUGUAAGAGAACUAAUUUUGUGGGUUGGAGGUUGGAAUUGUGCUGUCUUCUUCUUCCCCUCUUCAGUCGUAGAUUCUGUUCUGCGCUUCCCUGUGCGUUUGUGAUCGGCUGCCUAAGGUGGUGGUGGAGACUCAUGUUUAGAUAAGUUUCAUAUUGUAUCUCUUCUUCCUCUAGCUUUUGGCGUGCUCAUCCUUGAAAGGGUGUUUGGAAGAGAAGAAGUUUGAUUAAAGUUGAGAGGAGAAAUUUGACUUCUGGAGAAAUUUCAAAGAAUGAUUCAUGCGAGUUCGACUUUGAAAUUUUUGAUUAUUCAAUAAAUGCAAGCAUGAGCAUUGGAUAUGAAAAUUGAUUCUGGGGAUUUUAUACGGAACACUGGUUGCUAACGGCAAUUCCGUUAGCCCUUGGCGCGCCAUGGUACAUCUAGCUAGCAGGGUGUUUAUAGGAGGUGUUAGCCCAGUGCGAUGGCCAACACAUGUGGAAUGGAGGGAUGGUUAUUCGUGAGCAUCAUACUCACGUUUGUUUCGUGGCUUCAAGCCGCGUUUGAUUAGCGUUAUCCUCGUGAACUGUGUGUCCACGUUUGUUUCGUGGCUUUGGCCGCGUUUGGUUACUUACCCUCGUGGACUAAGUGUCCAUGUUUGUUUUUAUGGCAUAAGCCGCGUUUGGUUAGUUACCCUCGUGGAUUAUGUGUCCACAUUUGUUAAUUAUUCUGAUAAGUCCCUAUAUUUAUGAAUCCAAUCGUUUGAUGGUUUCAUAUUCUAUUGGUUUUUAUUUUGUAAAUUGUUUAUAAAUAUUUAUUUCAUUUAUGUGCUUUCUUGAAUAUGAUAGUCUAAUGAUUUGAGAUUUUAUUUGAAAUUUAUAAAGCCAUUUUAUUAUGAAGUUUAUAAAAUUUUUACAAAAAUUUUAUCUAUUUAACUUACAUAACUAUUUCAAACUUUUCAUUUUAUUCAUGUUCUAUUAUUUAUUGUUGAGACGUUAUUCACUGGAA
Molecule: long non-coding RNA, 1229 nt
Organism: Prosopis cineraria
Lineage: Eukaryota; Viridiplantae; Streptophyta; Magnoliopsida; Fabales; Fabaceae
Exons: 5
Source: RefSeq, a predicted model, not a curated record